RNAcentral lists this long non-coding RNA (2009 nucleotides) under Bemisia tabaci. RNAcentral's name for it is "lncRNA ENSSSA2NGG012276". Lineage: Eukaryota; Metazoa; Arthropoda; Insecta; Hemiptera; Aleyrodidae. The record is from RNAcentral.
AUGAUGUGCUUUUAUUUGGCGUUGUUAAUAUUUUUGCUCCAUCCUCAAGAGCAGGGCGCUCAUUUUAAGAGACUUCCACCGAAGGAGCGUUACAAGGAGAAUAGUCCCUGCGCAGGCUUCAGAAAUAAAACAAUCAACUGCAAGAGAGACUGCAAAAACCUGGCCACUGAAUUCAGUACGAUGAAAUCUACCUGUCAGAAAGAGAUCAAAAAUACGGUCGCGAACCUAGAUAACUUUUUCACUGGAACGUGUGAGGAGCUAACGGAAGGUGCUUGCAGAUGGGUAGAUGCUACUGCAGAAGCGAUGAUAAGUCGAUCAAGACCCAACGAUUGUCGUAUUGCAGAGAGCAGGCUAGAGACAUCGCCGACAGUAUUUUUAAGACUUUCCAAAUUAACAUUUAGAUUAUAGAGGCUCAUUUUAUAGGUAUGGUUGUAACUAGAGAAAGGAUUAGUCAUCAUUCCGGUAUCUUCCAGUGAAAACACUUGAUAUCCGUAAACCAUAUGCCGAACGAUCACAGGAGUAAACAGGCUGCAGGUGCCAACACCACUAGGUUGGAGAACUCGCCCUUGGGCAGUUAUGAACAUUCCCCGUUUUUCGUUCUCAUACACUCCAUUGCUGUUAAAAGUCAAUAUUUUGUCUUUGUGGGAUUUCUUUGAGCAAACGAUGGACAUUGAUCCCUCUAAGCCGUGGUAUUAUUUCCAUCUCCUCCUUCCCUCCUUCUUUUAUGGCCUGUUUCACUUGACUUCAACACAAUUUUCGCCUUCAAAAUUUGUGCAGGCAAAGUGAUUUACUUGGGUGUUCAAACAGUCACCUACAGCCGUUUUCUACAUUCAUUCUGUCAAUGUAAAAUGUUAAAUGGAUUUAUAUUGUGUAUAAAGUUAUACUGAAACCACGAAAAUACGUUGAUGUGGAAUGGUGUUCAAAAAUCUAUGCUCAUAAUUCAUUUUAUCAAGAGUACACUACUAAAAAUGUACGUACAAAAUUUUCCGAGUAUAUCUUUUUAUAGAGCAAAGGAGAAUCACCAAAUAUUUCUGGGAAAUUUGAAAACCUGUCAGGAAAAUCUAUCAUAUCUGAAAUGAACGGUAAAGAUGUAUUUCAGUAACUAAAACCGAAAGUUUGAUGGUUUAAUUUUUUCAUUUUUUGUGUAAGAAAAAUGAUCACCUGACACAUGCAAUCAGAGUAAUAAAAGAUAAUCUAAAUAUGUUAUGUGAGACAAUAGAUUUAAGUUCAAUAGAAGUUAUAACACGACAUAUACAUUUGCUUUCUCUUUUUUGUUAAGUAAUCCGUAAAACUAUUUCCUUCAUAAAUACAGAAAAUCAGUAAACAGUCUUAUUUUCAGUUUACCAUUUCUAUCAUUAAAAUCCUACUUUUUCUAAAUCCAAUCAAAAGAUUUAUUAAAAAAUUUCAUCACUUGAUAAUAUGAAAAAGGAUUUGGAAUGCGGCUAUCAAAUUGGCAUCGUGACAAAAAAAAAAAAAAACGUAAGCAACAUUAACAAACAAUAACUGAGAAAAAUAUAAUCGCUUCCCGCCGCAUGAAAUGGUGGAUCUACCCGUAAACCAAAGCAGGGUCUCACCAUCAUAGCAUGUUACAAUUGGACGUAUUUAUGCUAAAACGAACUAUAAGCAUAGGAUUUGAGUGUAACAUAGUUCCUUUUAGCCAGUGGCGUAACUAGAAAUCUUCGCGCGCUCCCGCCGAUCUGAGGCUGCGCCCUUUCAUAUCAGAAGUUUUGAGCGGUGCACCCUCCUCCCCCUCCCCCUACCCAUUAAGUCAUUCAGAUCUUAAUAAAUGGGAGAAAAUCAAGGUAUCGCUAUGAGAAUAGAACGAAAAGUGAAGAGGAAAUUCAAGUCCCAAAAGAGUAUGAAAAAAUGUGAAACUUACAUGAAAUUUUUGCAUGAUCAACAUUUUUUUCGUCUCGCCUUAGCAUUUGAAAACUCCUCAAUGAGUUGAUCGAAAUUUAAUGCAGCCUUUCCCCCCCCCCCCCAUUCGUUUUCCCAUUUUCCCCCAAAAU